UACGUAGGGGGCAAGCGUUGUCCGGAAUCAUUGGGCGUAAAGCGCGUGUAGGCGGUUCGGUAAGUCGUCUGUGAAAGUCCAGGGCUCAACCCUGGGAUGCCGGUCGAUACUGCCGACUAGAGUUCGGAAGAGGCGAGUGGAAUUCCCGGUGUAGCGGUGAAAUGCGCAGAUAUCGGGAGGAACACCAAUGGCGAAGGCAGCUCGCUGGGACGUUACUGACGCUGAGACGCGAAAGCGUGGGGAGCAAACAGG
This 252-nucleotide ribosomal RNA is filed under the name uncultured bacterium. RNAcentral's name for it is "partial 16S ribosomal RNA". It matches the Rfam family "Bacterial small subunit ribosomal RNA", at positions 524 to 776 of the family's 1533-position model. The record is from RNAcentral.